UGCACUGCUAUGAAGGUACCUCUAUGGGCACUGGAUCUGCAGAAUGCACUGCUAUGAAGGUACCUCUAUGGGCACUGGAUCUGCAGAAUGCACUGCUAUGAAGGUACCUCUAUGGGCACUGGAUCUGCAGAAUGCACUGAAGGUACCUCUAGGGGCACUGGAUCUGC
Long non-coding RNA from Bufo bufo (common toad), 167 nucleotides. RefSeq lists it as uncharacterized. The transcript is spliced from 3 exons. NCBI's taxonomy places the organism in Eukaryota, Metazoa, Chordata, Amphibia, Anura, Bufonidae. The record is from RefSeq and is a predicted model, not a curated record.